Styela clava is the source of this 333-nucleotide non-coding RNA. The record is from RefSeq and is a predicted model, not a curated record. Lineage: Eukaryota; Metazoa; Chordata; Ascidiacea; Stolidobranchia; Styelidae.
AUUCCCUCCUGAGGGCGCGCGACACUGGAUAAUAUGAUGAGCCUGAACCAGAGCCGGAAGUUUCAGACGAAUACGUGACAGCGGUGCAGACUGGCGAAGAACUGGAUCCGAACAAAGUUAAAAUACAUCAAUACGGUCCCAGGAAAGGUUUCUACAGUCUGACAAUGUCAGAAGAGGAGGCAUAAACUUGUCCGUCAGAUGGUGCAAUGGAGUAAAAAAACAAAUAUGCAAACUAUCGAUAAAAUUCUUUUUCAUCUGAGCAACAAUCUUGCUAAUACUCUGUAAUAAGUGGCAAUUUCCACAAACUCUCAACAUCUGUGACUCCCUGCUCUC